CGCGCCUCCCGAGGGCGGUGCCGCGGGGCGGGAAGGGUCGGGGCGUCCCGCGCUCGGAGUGUAGGAUGCGGCCCGAUGCGAUGCGAAAGGGCGGUUAAAAGAGAAAUGUGAUAAAAUUAGGAAAACGGCUGAAGACACUGAUUUGUACAACUCUGGGCUACUUCAGGCAAUGAGAGGUUUACAUAGCACGGUUUAACAAGAUCAAGGUCUCCCACGAAGCACACGGAUGACGGACAGCUCAUCGGAACCAGACACAACACAGCACCAAUACACGUGGGAUGUGAUGGACAGUGCCAGGCCAUUCCCCGGGUGGGUAACACACAACCUCUGGAUAAGGCAAUUCAAUGGAACUCUUAAUUCAAGUCACAACAUACCCAGGCAGCAUGCAGGGAAAAGUCAUUUAUUUUGUACAUUGGGAUGACACACCUCGCAGCGUUUCCAUUUGAUGUAGUUAGAGCGACAGGAUAUAAACCAUUCAAAUAACACACAUAUAUAUAUAUGCUGUAUAUAUAUAUAUCUCAAGUCAACAGUUGUCUUUACCGGAAUAAACAUUAUCUGUUUGUUGGCUUUAUUAUUAUUAUCAUUUUUUGGUAAAAAUAAAACUAUUUGAAUUCCCUAAUUAACAAAAUGCACAGUGAUCAGAAACCCAGUCCUUCUCCCAGCUGCCGCCCGUCCCCGUGAUGCCGUGGCUGCAGACGCUGCCGGGGGCUCCAUCCCAUGCCCCCCACGUCCCUGCUUCCCCCCCUGCACCCCACGUCGCCGCUUCCCCUCCAUCACAAGCGCGGGAGGGGCCGUUCCCGACCCGUUUCUUUGUCGCCGAUGGAUUCCUCUGGCUUUUUACCAUCGAGAAGUUUUAUGGCUCGGAUCAGAAGCAAAAAACGAAGCACCCGACCCGACGACCCAUCCAACCCAACCCCUCCACCUGAAGUAUCCCUGGUAAGGUGGAGUCUGAUGGGUACGGCUAAGGGCGAGUUCCCGGUGCAACAGGUGUAAGGAUCACAAACGAUGACGGGAGGCUUUUUCCUAGCAUUAAAAAGCUCUUUCAAGCAGAAACUAUGAGGAAGGGAAAUAAGACUCUUGUUUUUUUUGUUGGUUUUUUUUUUCCCUGACAAGAAAAAUAAAGAAAUCUCUAAUUUCAGAGCAGACGGAUCUGGGCGGCUUCACCCCUGCUUAACCCCACACCCACCGGGCCUGGCCCCGGCUCCAGGCAUUGCAGGUGGGGUUGUGGGGCCAUGGGAAUGCCAUCUCAUGGGGGUGGCUGUGGGGGCCAGCUCGUCCCACAGGUGCUCAAACCCAGGGAGGGGCCACGUGCCCACGUUUCCUCCCCUUUGCUGUGUCCCGUCCAUCACGUGACCCAUAAGAAGUCAUCCUGCGUCCCCCUGCUCUUCUACAUACUGCUCUGGUUAAAAAAAA
This is a long non-coding RNA of Numida meleagris (helmeted guineafowl), 1413 nucleotides long. RefSeq lists it as uncharacterized. Lineage: Eukaryota; Metazoa; Chordata; Aves; Galliformes; Numididae. The transcript has 2 exons. The record is from RefSeq and is a predicted model, not a curated record.